CACCUCCUCCUCCACGCCGUCCCCCCGACCGCCGCCGCCGCCACCGCGCUCGUCCUCCGCGUCGCUCUCGUCCGAGUUGUCCUCCUCCAGGUACGAGGCCGUGGCCACCACCAGCGUCACCAGCAGCACCGCCAGCUUCACCUAGGCGCACAAGGAGGGAUCCAGGGGACCUUCCGGCCGCUGGCCUCACGCCCUCCCGACUCAUCCCAGCUCCCGGAUAGGCCCACUCCCUUCUGGAACUCGCACCCGCAGCUCCUCUGAGGGCCUUCCCCACUCCUGGGAGCCGCCUGCCACCCAGGCUUCCUGAGCACCCUCCUGCUGACAAGGCUCAAACCCCAGCUCUGUCCCUUAGGUCACCCUACCUCUCCGGGCCUCAGUUUCCCUAACUGUAAUGAUCAUGCCUUUGUCUCACAGGGUAGAUGGAAGAUGUGACAGGUGGACACAGGGCUGGCGCUCCCUGACCGGGGCUUAGACUGCUCUGUCCCUUACACGUAGGGGUCAUAAGUAGUGCUUCUUAGAGAUUUUGACUAGAACACACAGAAAUAAUGUUGCAUCAUAACUCAGUACACACGCACUCCUUUGCUAGUUCCUAUUCUAUUUUUCAUUUUUUAAAAAAUUGGUUGGGCCUGCUAAACUGGCCCACCAGUGGGUGAGAGCAGACCUCAGGACCCCUAAGGGCCAAGGAGGGAGACAGACCCUCGACAUCCAGCUCAGAGCCCAGUAUCUAGCGAACAGAUGUCCCAACUACCCAUGAGGCGGCUAGGAUGUGCCCACAAGGAAGGAGCAAACAGUGAACCCUUUUAGAGACAGGUAAACUGAGGCUGGCAGGAGGUGAAGCUGUCACAAGUCAGUGCUGGGUGUGGGGCCACCCAGGGGGCUUGGCCCAGGGCCUGGCCCUUGGGGAGUGGGGUCCUUCCAGGGGCUGUGAGGCCCGGGCGGGCAGGCACCCAGAAAGCAUGUGUUGUCUCGGGGCUGGUGUGUGACAGGGGCGCCUUGCCCCUGGCCCCCACCCAGCCUUACCUUCAUGGGCAGGCUUGAGCCCAAGUAGACGGUGAAGAUGGCCACUGCCUGCCACCAGUGGUAGAUGGUGAAGAUGAAGUCUUGCCUCUCUUUGUCCUCAUACAGGAUUCCCAGGAGUGCUGCAGGCGGGCAGGACAGGGCAGAGGCAGGAGAGGUGUCAGCUGAGGCCCAGGGCUGCUGCUCUCUCCAACCAAGGACCCUCGCAUGCCCUGUGCUGGUCCCAGGCCUUGGCUGGAGCGCCCCAAAGCCACUGUACACCAGUCCUGGCCUGCCCCCUAAUGGACAUCCUGGUUCUCACGCUGCCUGGGAGCUUCGCAGAGGGCUCAAGGAGGCUAAAACGCUGUAGCAACAAGCUUUCUGCAAGCCCAAGAAGAAGUUGAAGUUGAAGGGGAGGAAUUUGUUUCCGAAAGCAUCCACCCAGCCGUACACACCCCCCGCCCCGUGGGCAGGAAGGGCAUCAGGCAGGGAGUCAGGAGAUUCCACUCUCAGGACUGAAAGCUACUCAGGACGUUAACACUCUCAUGCUGAGAUCCUGCCGUGUGACUGUGCACCCUGGGUUGCUGUGAAGGGACAUAGAGCCACCACCCCAACCCCAGGGGCCACAUGAGGAGGCAGGAAGCAGAGCGGCGGAAGAGGAGUCUGGGGCCUGGCCCAAGUCCAGACAUCAUGGGCUCAAGUCCAGAGGCAAAGCAGCCAGGUCAGUGUGGCCCAGGGUGUGGGCACCAUCCCCUAUAGCAGAUGCACAUGCCUGACUCUGGGGUGGUGGGUGCUGGGGUUGCCCGAGUGCACAUCUUCCCCGUCCGCAGCAGGCAUGACCUCCCCUGUGCACAUGGGGGGUGUUCAAAACUGUUAGCACCGGCCGAUGCGGAAGCCCAGAUGGCUGUGCCCAUGUGUACCAGCUGCGUGUCACUGGCAUAUGCUCACUUGUGGGCAGAGAGCAUCACGCAGACGAACUCUGUCCCACCCUCUCGUUUCUGCAAGCAGGGCCCCCGCCCCAGCCUUGGGGCCUGGACUCUGCUGCUCUGCAGAUUGCUGUUGGGGUCUUAUGGCCUGUUCCCAGCUCCUCUCCAUAAAAGGGCCAUAUCUGCACCUACCCCUGGAAUGUGGCCAGAGCCACUUGCUGCUUCUCAUGCUUCCUGGGACACAGACCCUGACAUCUGCUCCCAGUGUCGUGGAAACUGCCAUGGUUCCCUGGUAUGAGAAUGAGGACUCCCCAGUGUGUUUUUCACAUUGUCCCUAAGAGGUGUCCACAGAGCCCCAUACCCAGCCCAUGGAGCUGCAAGAUCUCACACUGACUCCCAAGCCCACCCUAGGGAGUCCUCAGGGUGUCCAUGGCAUGUCCCUCCUACACCUGCCUUGAGAGUGUCCAAGCCCUUCUCAUCUGUCCCUGCCACCCCCUAGAGUGUCCACUGGCAUCCCCACCUACCCACAGCAAGGCCACAGGGCUCCUGCCAGACCUCAGUGUGGCCAUCGACCCAUGUCUGCCCCUGUCUGUGUUCCCCUCAACCACCCCGAGGUAGCCCCGGAUCCCCUGGCGAGCCAUCCCAGGGCCCACGGCUGUACUCACUG
Non-coding RNA from Sus scrofa (pig), 2589 nucleotides. The record is from RefSeq and is a predicted model, not a curated record. NCBI's taxonomy places the organism in Eukaryota, Metazoa, Chordata, Mammalia, Artiodactyla, Suidae.